GAAUAUUGGACAAUGGGCGAAAGCCUGAUCCAGCCAUGCCGCGUGUGUGAAGAAGGUCUUCGGAUUGUAAAGCACUUUAAGUUGGGAGGAAGGGCUUUAGGUUAAUACCCUGAAGUUUUGACGUUACCAACAGAAUAAGCACCGGCUAACUAUGUGCCAGCAGCCGCGGUAAUACGAAGGGUGCAAGCGUUAAUCGGAAUUACUGGGCGUAAAGCGCGCGUAGGUUGUUCAGUAAGAUGGGUGUGAAAUCCCCGGGCUUAACCUGGGAACUGCUUUCAUAACUGCUGAGCUAGAGUACGGUAGAGGGUAGUGGAAUUUCCUGUGUAGCGGUGAAAUGCGUAGAUAUAGGAAGGAACAUCAGUGGCGAAGGCGACCACCUGGGCUAAUACUGACACUGAGGUGCGAAAGCGUGGGGAGCAAAC
RNAcentral lists this ribosomal RNA (422 nucleotides) under uncultured bacterium. RNAcentral's name for it is "partial 16S ribosomal RNA". It matches the Rfam family "Bacterial small subunit ribosomal RNA", at positions 359 to 773 of the family's 1533-position model. The record is from RNAcentral.